AUGAAUUCCUCCGCCAAUUUCCUGUCGAUCCUGGUGCUGCUGGUGUUCUUGGCCGCGGGGAAUGCGCGAGCGCAGCCCCAGCCGAUCCUCAUCAACUGCGCCUCGGAUUCCACCACCAGCGUCGACGCCAGGACAUGGAUUGGGGAUUCUUCCCCUUCCAACAACUUCACGCUCAGCUUCCCCGGAGCCAUCGCCUCGGCGGCUCCGGCUCCGGCUCCGGCUCCGGGAGUUGAUGGAGAACAAGACCCGUACGGAGAUUUGUACAAGACCGCCCGUGUCUUCAACGCCUCCUCCAGCUACAGGCUCGCCGUCGCCCCCGGGAGCUACUUCCUCCGCCUCCAUUUCAGCCAGCAGUUCGCCAAUCUCGGCGCCCAGGAGCCCAUCUUCAGUGUCGCGGCAAAUGGCCUGAGGCUGCUCUCCAAGUUCAGUGUCCACGGGGAGAUUUCUUGGAGGGAUUCCCAGAUCAACUCAACCAGCAGCGUCAUCGUCAAGGAGUACCUUCUCAAUGUCACUUCUGGUAAACUGGGCAUUGAGUUCACCCCCGAUGAAGGGUCCUUCGCCUUCAUCAAUGCCAUGGAGGUUCUCCCUGUGUCUGGCACCUCUAUUUUUGAUUCAGUCAACAAGGUGGAUGCUCAUGGGUUGAAAGGCCCUUUUAGCCUCGACGGCGGCGGGAUCGAGACCAUGUACAGGCUGUGUGUGGGAUGCAGAGAUGUACUGACGAGGAAAGAGGAUCCAGGAUUGUGGAGGAGGUGGGAUAAAGAUGACCAUUUCAUAUUCUCUCUGAACGCCGCGAAUUCCAUCUUCAACUCUUCCAACAUAAGUUAUGUGUCUGCUGAUGAUCCCACGGUAGCCCCUUUGAGGCUCUAUCAGAGUGCAAGGGUGCCAACAGAGAGUUCGGUCUUGGGAAAGAAGUUCAAUGUCUCAUGGAGCUUUAACAUUGACCCUGGCUUUGAUUACUUGGUCCGGCUGCAUUUCUGCGAGCUGCAGUAUGACAAGGCCGAGCAACGCAAGUUCAAGAUUUACAUAAACAACAAGACCGCUGCAGAGGGCUAUGAUGUGCUUGCCAGAGCUGGGGGCAAGAACAAGGCCUUUUAUGAAGACUUCCUUGAUGCUGCCUCACCGCAGAUGGACACUCUUUGGGUUCAGCUGGGGUCUGAGUCUUCAGCAGGUUCCGCGGCUGCUGAUGCUCUUCUCAAUGGCAUGGAGAUCUUUAAGGUCAGCCGGGAAGGAAAUCUUGCCCAUCCAACCGUCAGGAUUGGAGGCUUCAGUGGUGGCACAAGCAAACCAAAACGGAGCCCCAAGUGGGUGCUAAUUGGUGCUGCUUCCGGUCUGAUAAUUUUUAUCGCAAUUGCUGCUGCUCUUUAUUUAUGUUUCAAUCUGCGACGGAAGAAAAAUAGUUCAGCCAGCAAAGCCAAGGACAAUCCCCAUGGUGCUGCACAUACCCGUUCUCCAACUCUUCUCACGGCUGGGGCAUUUGGGAGCAAAAGGAUGGGCAGGCGGUUCACCAUUGCAGAAAUCAGAACAGCCACUGUGAACUUUGAUGAGUCCUUGGUGAUUGGGGUUGGAGGCUUUGGCAAGGUCUACAGGGGUAUAAUGGAGGAUGGCACUCGGGUGGCAAUUAAGAGGGGUUACACAGAUUCUCACCAGGGUCAGGGUGUGAAGGAAUUCGAAACUGAGAUCGAGAUGCUCUCAAGGUUGCGGCACCGGCACCUUGUGCCCUUGAUUGGCUAUUGUGAUGAGCAAAACGAGAUGGUCUUAGUUUAUGAGCACAUGGCAAAUGGCACAUUAAGGAGCCAUCUUUAUGGAAGUGACCUUCCUGCUCUUACAUGGAAGCAAAGGCUCGAAAUAUGUAUCGGCGCAGCACGAGGGCUUCACUACCUUCACACUGGGCUUGACAGAGGUAUAAUCCACAGGGACGUCAAGACUACCAACAUUUUGUUAGACAACAACCUUGUUGCCAAGAUGGCAGAUUUUGGCAUCUCAAAAGAUGGUCCAGCUUUAGAUCAUACUCAUGUUAGUACUGCUGUCAAAGGGAGUUUUGGUUACCUCGAUCCAGAGUACUAUAGGAGACAGCAGUUAACGCCAAGUUCAGAUGUGUACUCUUUUGGUGUCGUGCUGUUUGAAGUGCUGUGUGCUCGACCAGUCAUAAAUCCAACCCUGCCAAGAGACCAGAUAAACCUUGCUGACUGGGCUCUCAACAGGCAAAGGCACAAGUUACUUGAGACCAUAAUCGACCUUCGAUUGGAUGGAAAUUACACACUGGAGUCCAUCAGAACAUUCAGCGAGAUAGCAGAAAAAUGCCUUGCAGAUGAGGGGGUGAACCGGCCUUCGAUGGGCGAAGUCCUCUGGCACCUAGAGAGUGCUUUGCAGUUGGAACAAGGUCAUCUGCAAAGCACAAAUGGUGAUGGUUGUUCAGACCCUCAACUGAAGCCUUCUGAUGUACCUACCCAUGUGGCGUGCAUCAAAGAAGUUGAGCAAUCCACUCGUCCAGGCUCCCACGAUUCAGAUGGGCAAGUUGUCGAUGUCAAGAUUGAGGUGCCAUGA
RNAcentral lists this ribosomal RNA (2544 nucleotides) under Triticum aestivum (bread wheat). Its description in RNAcentral is "partial small subunit ribosomal RNA". Lineage: Eukaryota; Viridiplantae; Streptophyta; Magnoliopsida; Poales; Poaceae. The record is from RNAcentral.